This 497-nucleotide long non-coding RNA is filed under the name Rattus norvegicus (Norway rat). Its description in RNAcentral is "long non-coding RNA NONRATT016362". The record is from RNAcentral. Lineage: Eukaryota; Metazoa; Chordata; Mammalia; Rodentia; Muridae.
CCAUUUUGGAAAGCAAUAUGGGAGUUUCUCAGAAUAUUGGGAAUUGAUCAACCUCAAGAGCCAGCUCUACUGUUCCUGAGCAUUUACCUAAAGAUGUUCCAUCAUAUCACAGGGACACUUACACAACUAUGUUCAUAGCCACUUUAUUCGUAACAGCCAGAAACUAUAAAGAACUUAGAUAUCUCUAAACUGAAGAAUAGAUAAAGAAAACAAGGUGCAUACACAAUAAAGUAUUGCUAGGUGUUAAAAACAAUAAUGCCCUGAAGUUUGUAGGUAAAUGAAUGGAAGUGGUUUUUUUUUUUUGUUUUGUUUUGUUUUUUUAAGAUUACACUGUAGCUGUCUUCAGACACACCAGAAGAGGGGAUCAGAUCCCAUUAGAGAUGGUUGUGAGCCACCAUGGGGUUGCUGGGAAUUGAACUCAGGACCUCUGGAAGAGCAGUCAGUGCUCUUAACCGCUGAGCCAUCUCUCCAGCCCCCAUGAAUGGAAGUUUUAAUUG